RNAcentral lists this long non-coding RNA (5835 nucleotides) under Capsicum annuum. RNAcentral's name for it is "long non-coding RNA (CANN_LNC013292)". The record is from RNAcentral. Lineage: Eukaryota; Viridiplantae; Streptophyta; Magnoliopsida; Solanales; Solanaceae.
UUGGACGUAUAAGCUCGGCCAUACUACCAUCAAUCACAAUGAAGUUUUUGGUUCCAUUGGUUUUAACUCCGGUAACUCUGUUAACCAAGCAGCAUGUGUUUGCAAUUAGUGAUCUUCCAGGUUCAAUAAUCAGAUUGAGGUUUCGAGAAAGGACCAAUUCUCGUACCUGCAAUACACAUGAUAGGAAGUGUCAGCUAAACCACAGGUGAGGUCCACAGUUUGAGCAAUAACUUUAAUUUUAUUCAAAAUUCAAAAAUUCUAGCACGCUACCCUUCAAGUAAGGGAACCCCCUUUGACCUUCUCUCGAAUGACCUUAUUUCUAAUCCAAUCUGCUCUGGUAAGUCUACAUAUCCAUCUCAGCAGGGGCGGAGCUACCCUUCAAGUAGGGGAACCCCCUUCAUCGAAAAAUUAUGCUAUAUAUACAUAGUUAAAAUUAUUUAUUAUGUAUAUAGUAGAUGUUGAACCCCCUCCGGUUAGUUCGUAUGUUCACUAAUGAACUCCCUUAGUGAAAAUCCUGGCUCCGCCAUUGCAUUUCAGCAUCCUUAUCUUAGUCACCUUCAACUUCUCAAUGUGAGAGUUCUUAACUGGCUAACACUCUACUUCAUAUAAUAUAAUUGUAAUCUAUUUAAUUUUUUAAAAUGAAUUGAAGUGCUUUAACCAAUUAAUUAAAGUAUUUCUAUUGCGAUGAGGCGUAAUUAAUUGAAGUAAUUUUAUUAUGCAAUAUGCACAUAGAUUUGUGCUAUAUAUAACAGUAACAUAUUAUAACUUUUAAAAUAAAUUAAAAUUUUUUGGCCGACUACUUAAAAUAAUCCUAUUGGAAUGACGCGAAAUUAAUUGAUCGAUUAAUUACAAUAUUAUUGCGAUGAUGCAUGUUUUUAAAAAAAAAAUUUUAAAAAUGGGGGUAGUGGAAUGGGGAUGGGGGAGGGGAUUACAAUGUGGGGAAUCGAACCCUCACCAACCAAGUGAGAGUUCAGGUAACUAACCAACUAAGCUACUAAGAUUUUCCAUGAUGCAUGGUUAAUUGGUCAAUUAUUUAAUGUAAUUCUGCAAUAUGUACAUGUGAUUUCUCUACUACAUAACAAUGAUAUAUUUUAUUUUUUUAAAAUAAAUUGAAGCACUUUGACCGAUUAAUUAAAGUAAUCAUGUUGCAAUGAGACCCAAUUAAUUAACUGGUUAAUUGAAAUUAUCCUAUUAUGCAAUUAGUGAUCUUCCAGGUUCAAUAAUCAGAUUGAGGUUUCGAGGAUUAUAGUUAUAGAUUAUAGAUUAUAGAUGAUGAGGCGUAGUUAAUUGAUCGAUUAUUUAAAGUAAUUCUAUUAUGCAAUAUGUAUAUGUGAUUUAUUUAAGACAUCAACAACAACAAUAACAUAUUCAAUACAAUCCUAUAAAGUGAAGUCUGGAGGGAGUAAAAGUGUACGCAGUUCAUACCACUACCUCAGUGGGAGUAGAGACUAUUUCCGACAAAUCCAUGGCUUAUGACAAAUAACAGUAUAACAAACAACAAACAUAAAAAUAACUACAAAAUGAGAUACCGCACCACUAGAUAAUAAAAAAAACAAGACACUGACAGAGUAAUAUUAUAAAUUAUCUAUUUGAGAUCACAACCUCAUCAGAACACUCCUCCAAACCUGGUCAUAUCUUUAGUAAGCUGUAACUGCUUCAUGUCAUGCCUAAUCACCUCCAUCCAAUAUUUCUUCGAUCUACCUCUACCCCGUCCAAAAUCAACCAUAACAAACCUAUCACACCUCUGCACCCGUGCACCCCCUCAUCACCAUUGAUUUGGAUUUGAUAAUGUGGACCUCUAAUUAAGAGGCUACAUGACAAAAAUAAUUUUGCAAAAAACAUUGUUACAAAAUAAUGGCAUGAAUGAAUCUUUCUAUACUGGUGACAGUGACACAAAAGAGCCGAACUUUCAAUGAUAGUGGCAUAAACAAGUCAAACUUAUAACGGAUAACAUAGAUGAACUAUUUCUAAUAGUUCGAUGACAUGUUUGAGCCUUUUCACUUAAUUCUAAGGUCAGUUUUUUUGGAGAAAAAGAAAAAAUUAAGGUCACUUUUAGUACUACAUUUAAUUUAGCAAAGGGCAAAUGAGAACCAAAUACAAGAAAGAAAUGGGUCUGUACCUUAAUCUUCUUCAUAGCAAAUUAUGCUAGUUUUUGUUUUAACAAAAAAGUUCACUCUACAAUGGAUAAGAUAUUAAAGUGAUCUUUCAAUGCGGAUUUAAUUGGACUCCAAUAUCAAUAUCGGACACCGGCUGCCAAAAAGAAGUGGGGAGUCCACAGGGAUUUGCAACAUUACACAUCCCACAUAACUACUGAAUCUAUAAGUUGGCUAUGGUAGUGAAAAUCCAUUAAUUGGAACAAUCCAAAUACAGAAUGUCAACUCAACAUUGACAGGAACCAAACUACCAGGGGAAUUUCUGAGUUUCACAUCCUGCCAUGUUAAAGUGCUUAAAAGAAACCAUAGUUUUACAGGCCAUCAAAGAAUCUCAAAUGGUCUUCGAAUGUCUCCCCAUGGCGGAUUUUGGACACUGAUCCAUCUUCUUCCACCUACAAACAGCAGCAUGCACAAUCCAAUUUCAGUUUUCAAAUAUUUUGUAGAUAUCAAUGCAUGCGUUGCAUGUGAAAUUACAUGUCAAGAGAGAAGAUGUUUGCUAAAUUAAAAAAACUACCAGAUUCAUAGUAUACUACAUUUGUGGUUACUUUGAUAACUUCAAGCUGCAAUCGAUAAAACCAUGGAUAGCGCUUGCAGCAUGAUUUAAGUGAAAAGUUGCAUUUGAAAAGAGCAGAUUUCUCUUGCAUAAAAAGAAAAGUUGCACUGACCAAGCAACAUUUAUAAAAACAGAAGAACUCGCAUUUAAGGGACAUUUUUCACCGUGUUUAGGAAAGUAAAAUGGCGUCUAAGUUAUAGAUGUUAUUAGAUUACUUAGCCAGUAACCACAAGGCUACUCUUACUCCUAAAAUACCAGUCAUAUGGCAGCUUGACUCUUAAUACUAGAUAGUGAAAAACACCAACUCUUUACUUUGGGCACAAAAUGCUGACAGGAAUACGAAGUCUGUUUCCAUCAUGACUAAGCUUGAGGAAACAUUAAGGGACGUAACCAAAACCACAAAGAAAUAUUAGGUGCAGAAUUUUUUAAUAAAAAGCUAAGACAAUAUACCCAAUACUCAGGUGGGCGCAUCUUGAGAUUGUAAGUUGAUGCCAUACUCAUGCAGUAAGCACCUGCAUCGUGAACUACCAAACCAGUGCCCUGAAUUCAAAUGCCAUAGUUAACAUCAGUAUAGAAUGUAUUCAAGAAACUCUCUAAUAAGAGGCUAGUUCUUGCCCUUUUAAUAGGCUAUGAGAGGUCAAAACAAAUUACCCUAGAAGGGGCGGGAAGUUCACGGUCCUUUCCCAGGAAAUCUGCAGACUCACAUACAGGACCAACUACAUCAAAUUUAGAAAUUGCAGCUUCCGUGGAUGCAGGUGAAACAAGCUCUAUGUGCUGCAAUCAAAAAUUAUUUACUCAGCAAGAGCACAGAGAAGAUCACAAAUCGACAAAAGGGUAAAUCAUAUAUGCAAUGUGCGAAUAAAGAGUGAGGUCCAAAUUGCAUGCUCAUAUAAUAAUAAGCACAAGCAGGUAGUGGCUACUUAAAAAAGUUGAACAACAUGAAUACCAACACGAAUGAAGCAUAACAUUUUUGGAGUAAACCCAUCACAAAAAUUCUGCAGUUCAAGCAUUUUUACUGUAACACGUUUUGAAAGCUGUAAAAUUGCUAAAUCUUCCCCAAGAAUAGGACAUCCUCAAAAAGGAGCAUGGGCCUCGCGGGGGGAUCUUCUUUUUUUGCUUUUUUUGAUGAAGUAAUAGUAAAUUUCAUUAGUGGCGUCAAGUAGAUGCAGAAAUCACAAAGGUUAAGGAAAUUACAUUCAGCUCUUCCAAAAUAAUGUGAAAGCAUAUCAUUUGACACCCAUUAAACGAAAUAUAUAGCACAUACAGAUCAAGGGACAGAGAGAGUGAGAGUCAACUCUGAUAGCUGCAAGAAAAUAUUUGGCAACCUCACCUGAUAGGCAUCAUAAAGACUUGGACGUAUAAGCUCGGCCAUACUACCAUCAAUCACAAUGAAGUUUUUGGUUCCAUUGGUUUUAACUCCGGUAACUCUGUUAACCAAGCAGCAUGUGUUUGCAAUUAGUGAUCUUCCAGGUUCAAUAAUCAGAUUGAGGUUUCGAGAAAGGACCAAUUCUCGUACCUGCAAUACACAUGAUAGGAAGUGUCAGCUAAACCACAGGUGAGGUCCACAGUUUGAGCAAUAACUUUAAUUUUAUUCAAAAUUCAAAAAUUCUAGCACGCUACCCUUCAAGUAAGGGAACCCCCUUUGACCUUCUCUCGAAUGACCUUAUUUCUAAUCCAAUCUGCUCUGGUAAGUCUACAUAUCCAUCUCAGCAGGGGCGGAGCUACCCUUCAAGUAGGGGAACCCCCUUCAUCGAAAAAUUAUGCUAUAUAUACAUAGUUAAAAUUAUUUAUUAUGUAUAUAGUAGAUGUUGAACCCCCUCCGGUUAGUUCGUAUGUUCACUAAUGAACUCCCUUAGUGAAAAUCCUGGCUCCGCCAUUGCAUUUCAGCAUCCUUAUCUUAGUCACCUUCAACUUCUCAAUGUGAGAGUUCUUAACUGGCUAACACUCUACUUCAUAUAAUAUAAUUGUAAUCUAUUUAAUUUUUUAAAAUGAAUUGAAGUGCUUUAACCAAUUAAUUAAAGUAUUUCUAUUGCGAUGAGGCGUAAUUAAUUGAAGUAAUUUUAUUAUGCAAUAUGCACAUAGAUUUGUGCUAUAUAUAACAGUAACAUAUUAUAACUUUUAAAAUAAAUUAAAAUUUUUUGGCCGACUACUUAAAAUAAUCCUAUUGGAAUGACGCGAAAUUAAUUGAUCGAUUAAUUACAAUAUUAUUGCGAUGAUGCAUGUUUUUAAAAAAAAAAUUUUAAAAAUGGGGGUAGUGGAAUGGGGAUGGGGGAGGGGAUUACAAUGUGGGGAAUCGAACCCUCACCAACCAAGUGAGAGUUCAGGUAACUAACCAACUAAGCUACUAAGAUUUUCCAUGAUGCAUGGUUAAUUGGUCAAUUAUUUAAUGUAAUUCUGCAAUAUGUACAUGUGAUUUCUCUACUACAUAACAAUGAUAUAUUUUAUUUUUUUAAAAUAAAUUGAAGCACUUUGACCGAUUAAUUAAAGUAAUCAUGUUGCAAUGAGACCCAAUUAAUUAACUGGUUAAUUGAAAUUAUCCUAUUAUGCAAUUAGUGAUCUUCCAGGUUCAAUAAUCAGAUUGAGGUUUCGAGAAAGGACCAAUUCUCGUACCUGCAAUACACAUGAUAGGAAGUGUCAGCUAAACCACAGGUGAGGUCCACAGUUUGAGCAAUAACUUUAAUUUUAUUCAAAAUUCAAAAAUUCUAGCACGCUGAUAUACCAUUACAGCCUUGCACUAUGUCAAUUACCAGUCAGUAGAGCUUUAAAUGCUAAAGCAAUCUAUCUCUCUCACCCACACUGCCCACUAUAAAUCGUAACAAUCAAGGUGGUUUCUGCCACCAGCCCCCUAAACUUCAGUUGAAAAUAAAAACUAAUACCCAGUAGCCACCUCAAAAUGACCAGUCUACAUGGGAUAAUAAAGAAAUACGUAUGUUAACAUAUACUGUUAGUCUCUUAGACUCACGAGUAUAGCAAAAAUUGUUUCAGGUAUGUUCCAAAGUCUUUGGGACAAGUGAAUUAGCAUCAAAGUGAAAUAAAGUCACUACUACUAAGAGCCAGACUUGGGGCAAAUCACUCUACAAAAAACAUCCCGGCACAUGUCAUAUAUCUUAUAUGAGAUAGACAAAUUUA